GAUUGCAGGCUGCAACCCGCCUGCAUGAAGUCGGAAUUGCUAGUAAUCGCGGAUCAGCAUGCCGCGGUGAAUACGUUCCCGGGCCUUGCACACACCGCCCGUCACACCAUGGGAGUCGGUAACACCCGGAAGCCUGUAGUCUAACCGCAAGGAGGACGCAGUCGAAGGUGGGAUUGAUGACUGGGGUGAAGUCGUAACAAGGUAAC
RNAcentral lists this ribosomal RNA (206 nucleotides) under uncultured bacterium. RNAcentral's name for it is "partial 16S ribosomal RNA". It matches the Rfam family "Bacterial small subunit ribosomal RNA", at positions 1296 to 1500 of the family's 1533-position model. The record is from RNAcentral.